CCUACGGGGGGCAGCAGUGGGGAAUAUUGCACAAUGGGGGGAACCCUGAUGCAGCCAUGCCGCGUGAAUGAAGAAGGCCUUCGGGUUGUAAAGUUCUUUCGGUAGCGAGGAAGGCAUUUAGUUUAAUAGACUAGGUGAUUGACGUUAACUACAGAAGAAGCACCGGCUAACUCCGUGCCAGCAGCCGCGGUAAUACGGGGGGUGCGAGCGUUAAUCGGAAUAACUGGGCGUAAAGGGCACGCAGGCGGUGACUUAAGUGAGAUGUGAAAGCCCCGGGCUUAACCUGGGAAUUGCAUUUCAUACUGGGUCGCUAGAGUACUUUAGGGAGGGGUAGAAUUCCACGUGUAGCGGUGAAAUGCGUAGAGAUGUGGAGGAAUACCGAAGGCGAAGGCAGCCCCUUGGGAAUGUACUGACGCUCAUGUGCGAAAGCGUGGGGAGCAAACAGGAUUAGAUACCCGGGUAGUC
RNAcentral lists this ribosomal RNA (465 nucleotides) under uncultured Haemophilus sp. RNAcentral describes it as "bacterial SSU rRNA". It matches the Rfam family "Bacterial small subunit ribosomal RNA", at positions 338 to 795 of the family's 1533-position model. Lineage: Bacteria; Pseudomonadati; Pseudomonadota; Gammaproteobacteria; Pasteurellales; Pasteurellaceae. The record is from RNAcentral.